UGAACGCUGGCGGUAGGCCUAACACAUGCAAGUCGAACGGCAGCACAGUAAGAGCUUGCUCUUACGGGUGGCGAGUGGCGGACGGGUGAGGAAUACAUCGGAAUCUACUUUUUCGUGGGGGAUAACGUAGGGAAACUUACGCUAAUACCGCAUACGACCUACGGGUGAAAGCAGGGGAUCUUCGGACCUUGCGCGAUUGAAUGAGCCGAUGUCGGAUUAGCUAGUUGGCGGGGUAAAGGCCAACCAAGGCGACGAUCCGUAGCUGGUCUGAGAGGAUGAUCAGCCACACUGGAACUGAGACACGGUCCAGACUCCAACGGGAGGCAGCAGUGGGGAAUAUUGUAAAAUGGGCGCAAGCCUGAUCCAGCCAUACCGCGGGGGUGAAGAAGGCCUUCGGGUUGUAAAGCCCUUUUGUUGGGAAAGAAAAGCAGCAGGUUAAUACCCCGCUGUUCUGACGGUACCCAAAGAAUAAGCACCGGCUAACUUCGUG
Molecule: ribosomal RNA, 490 nt
Filed under: uncultured bacterium
Lineage: Bacteria
Description: partial 16S ribosomal RNA
Rfam family: Bacterial small subunit ribosomal RNA
Source: RNAcentral